This 253-nucleotide ribosomal RNA is filed under the name uncultured bacterium. Its description in RNAcentral is "partial 16S ribosomal RNA". It matches the Rfam family "Bacterial small subunit ribosomal RNA", at positions 524 to 776 of the family's 1533-position model. The record is from RNAcentral.
UACGUAGGGUCCGAGCGUUGUCCGGAAUUAUUGGGCGUAAAGAGCUCGUAGGCGGUUUGUCGCGUCUGCUGUGAAAUCCCGAGGCUCAACCUCGGGCCUGCAGUGGGUACGGGCAGACUGGAGUGCGGUAGGGGAGAAUGGAAUUCCUGGUGUAGCGGUGAAAUGCGCAGAUAUCAGGAGGAACACCGGUGGCGAAGGCGGGUCUCUGGGCAACAACUGACGCUGAGGAGCGAAAGCGUGGGGAGCGAACAGG